AAUUUACAAACUUUCUUCUCAUUUCCAGGAAGCACAAACCCUUCGGGUUGCUCCAUAUAAACUUCUUCAUCAAGAUCACCAUUUAAGAAUGCCGUCUUAACAUCCAUUUGAUGGACAUUUAGAUUAUAUAUUGAUGCCAAAGCAAAUAAUACUCUUAUUGAGGAGAUUCAAUUGCCUUUCUUUUAUUGUUAGAAGAAGAACUAGGUUCUGCACAAUUUUCUUGAGUUACUGCAUUAUCACCAAUGCUUGUUGCAUUACCAUCUUGUUUAGUAAUUUCUGUGUCCUCAUGUGAAUUAUUAGAGUCACCAAUGAACUUUGUUUCCAAGAACUCAACAUCUUUAGAUUCCACAA
Molecule: long non-coding RNA, 351 nt
Organism: Nicotiana attenuata
Lineage: Eukaryota; Viridiplantae; Streptophyta; Magnoliopsida; Solanales; Solanaceae
Exons: 2
Source: RefSeq, a predicted model, not a curated record